RNAcentral lists this ribosomal RNA (2291 nucleotides) under Escherichia coli 1-176-05_S3_C2. Its description in RNAcentral is "bacterial LSU rRNA". It matches the Rfam family "Bacterial large subunit ribosomal RNA", at positions 654 to 2925 of the family's 2925-position model. Lineage: Bacteria; Pseudomonadati; Pseudomonadota; Gammaproteobacteria; Enterobacterales; Enterobacteriaceae. The record is from RNAcentral.
CGAAUAGGGGAGCCGAAGGGAAACCGAGUCUUAACUGGGCGUUAAGUUGCAGGGUAUAGACCCGAAACCCGGUGAUCUAGCCAUGGGCAGGUUGAAGGUUGGGUAACACUAACUGGAGGACCGAACCGACUAAUGUUGAAAAAUUAGCGGAUGACUUGUGGCUGGGGGUGAAAGGCCAAUCAAACCGGGAGAUAGCUGGUUCUCCCCGAAAGCUAUUUAGGUAGCGCCUCGUGAAUUCAUCUCCGGGGGUAGAGCACUGUUUCGGCAAGGGGGUCAUCCCGACUUACCAACCCGAUGCAAACUGCGAAUACCGGAGAAUGUUAUCACGGGAGACACACGGCGGGUGCUAACGUCCGUCGUGAAGAGGGAAACAACCCAGACCGCCAGCUAAGGUCCCAAAGUCAUGGUUAAGUGGGAAACGAUGUGGGAAGGCCCAGACAGCCAGGAUGUUGGCUUAGAAGCAGCCAUCAUUUAAAGAAAGCGUAAUAGCUCACUGGUCGAGUCGGCCUGCGCGGAAGAUGUAACGGGGCUAAACCAUGCACCGAAGCUGCGGCAGCGACACUGUGUGUUGUUGGGUAGGGGAGCGUUCUGUAAGCCUGUGAAGGUGUGCUGUGAGGCAUGCUGGAGGUAUCAGAAGUGCGAAUGCUGACAUAAGUAACGAUAAAGCGGGUGAAAAGCCCGCUCGCCGGAAGACCAAGGGUUCCUGUCCAACGUUAAUCGGGGCAGGGUGAGUCGACCCCUAAGGCGAGGCCGAAAGGCGUAGUCGAUGGGAAACAGGUUAAUAUUCCUGUACUUGGUGUUACUGCGAAGGGGGGACGGAGAAGGCUAUGUUGGCCGGGCGACGGUUGUCCCGGUUUAAGCGUGUAGGCUGGUUUUCCAGGCAAAUCCGGAAAAUCAAGGCUGAGGCGUGAUGACGAGGCACUACGGUGCUGAAGCAACAAAUGCCCUGCUUCCAGGAAAAGCCUCUAAGCAUCAGGUAACAUCAAAUCGUACCCCAAACCGACACAGGUGGUCAGGUAGAGAAUACCAAGGCGCUUGAGAGAACUCGGGUGAAGGAACUAGGCAAAAUGGUGCCGUAACUUCGGGAGAAGGCACGCUGAUAUGUAGGUGAAGCGACUUGCUCGUGGAGCUGAAAUCAGUCGAAGAUACCAGCUGGCUGCAACUGUUUAUUAAAAACACAGCACUGUGCAAACACGAAAGUGGACGUAUACGGUGUGACGCCUGCCCGGUGCCGGAAGGUUAAUUGAUGGGGUCAGCCGCAAGGCGAAGCUCUUGAUCGAAGCCCCGGUAAACGGCGGCCGUAACUAUAACGGUCCUAAGGUAGCGAAAUUCCUUGUCGGGUAAGUUCCGACCUGCACGAAUGGCGUAAUGAUGGCCAGGCUGUCUCCACCCGAGACUCAGUGAAAUUGAACUCGCUGUGAAGAUGCAGUGUACCCGCGGCAAGACGGAAAGACCCCGUGAACCUUUACUAUAGCUUGACACUGAACAUUGAGCCUUGAUGUGUAGGAUAGGUGGGAGGCUUUGAAGCGUGGACGCCAGUCUGCGUGGAGCCGACCUUGAAAUACCACCCUUUAAUGUUUGAUGUUCUAACGUAGACCCUAUCGGGUUGCGGACAGUGUCUGGUGGGUAGUUUGACUGGGGCGGUCUCCUCCUAAAGAGUAACGGAGGAGCACGAAGGUUGGCUAAUCCUGGUCGGACAUCAGGAGGUUAGUGCAAUGGCAUAAGCCAGCUUGACUGCGAGCGUGACGGCGCGAGCAGGUGCGAAAGCAGGUCAUAGUGAUCCGGUGGUUCUGAAUGGAAGGGCCAUCGCUCAACGGAUAAAAGGUACUCCGGGGAUAACAGGCUGAUACCGCCCAAGAGUUCAUAUCGACGGCGGUGUUUGGCACCUCGAUGUCGGCUCAUCACAUCCUGGGGCUGAAGUAGGUCCCAAGGGUAUGGCUGUUCGCCAUUUAAAGUGGUACGCGAGCUGGGUUUAGAACGUCGUGAGACAGUUCGGUCCCUAUCUGCCGUGGGCGCUGGAGAACUGAGGGGGGCUGCUCCUAGUACGAGAGGACCGGAGUGGACGCAUCACUGGUGUUCGGGUUGUCAUGCCAAUGGCACUGCCCGGUAGCUAAAUGCGGAAGAGAUAAGUGCUGAAAGCAUCUAAGCACGAAACUUGCCCCGAGAUGAGUUCUCCCUGACUCCUUGAGAGUCCUGAAGGAACGUUGAAGACGACGACGUUGAUAGGCCGGGUGUGUAAGCGCAGCGAUGCGUUGAGCUAACCGGUACUAAUGAACCGUGAGGCUUAACCU